RNAcentral lists this ribosomal RNA (255 nucleotides) under uncultured bacterium. RNAcentral describes it as "partial 16S ribosomal RNA". It matches the Rfam family "Bacterial small subunit ribosomal RNA", at positions 524 to 776 of the family's 1533-position model. The record is from RNAcentral.
UACGUAGGGUGCAAGCGUUGUCCGGAAUUAUUGGGCGUAAAGAGCUCGUAGGCGGUUUGUCGCGUCUGCUGUGAAAACCCGAGGCUCAACCUCGGGCCUGCAGUGGGUACGGGCAGACUAGAGUGCGGUAGGGGUGACUGGAAUUCCUGGUGUAGCGGUGGAAUGCGCAGAUAUCAGGAGGAACACCGAUGGCGAAGGCAGGUCACUGGGCCGCAACUGACGCUGAGGCGACGAAAGCCUAGGGGAGCAAACGGG